RNAcentral lists this ribosomal RNA (254 nucleotides) under uncultured bacterium. RNAcentral's name for it is "partial 16S ribosomal RNA". It matches the Rfam family "Bacterial small subunit ribosomal RNA", at positions 524 to 776 of the family's 1533-position model. The record is from RNAcentral.
GACGUAGGGGGCGAGCGUUAUCCGGAUUCACUGGGCGUAAAGGGCGUGUAGGCGGUUACGUAAGUCCGGCGUGAAAAUUCACGGCUUAACUGUGAACGUGCGUCGGAUACUGCGUUGACUUGAGGGCGGUAGAGGUAGAUGGAACUAGCGGUGUAGCGGUGAAAUGCACAGAUAUCGCUAGGAACGCCGGUGGCGAAGGCGAUCUGCUGGGCCGUUCCUGACGCUGAGGCGCGAAAGCUAGGGGAGCGAACCGG